UUAAUAUUUACACUGCUUGUCUACAGGAUUUCUCAGGGCAAACAGCAACAGAAGCCAGACAAGAUUUUAUGACCAAAAUGAUGAGACGACUUCAACCCUGCUGGAUGCUGUACAGCUCAACAUCAAGCUUGUGCUUGGAGUGAAACUGCACUCAAUUUUAAAUUACCUCUGAUAAGAAGUAUUUACUAGGAUACUUGUCAACAUGGCUCUGUUUAUAGCAAGAGUGAAAAUUGGUCACGAAGUACUGAAGAAUUACUGUUCCUAGACAGCUGCCUGUGUGCUUUGGUUGCCCAUGGGGAGUCAUGGUGAUCCCCCCACAUAUAAUCAGACGGGAUGCAUACCUCAGGUCUGACUGACAGCAAAGAAGAGAGGAAACAAAUCAUCUCUCCUUUCAGCAUGCAUGAUGGCACACCUGCUGAGAUCAUCCUAGCAAACUAAUCACCUGGCACAGACCUCA
Cyanistes caeruleus (blue tit) is the source of this 457-nucleotide non-coding RNA. The record is from RefSeq and is a predicted model, not a curated record. Lineage: Eukaryota; Metazoa; Chordata; Aves; Passeriformes; Paridae.